Molecule: ribosomal RNA, 442 nt
Filed under: uncultured bacterium
Lineage: Bacteria
Description: partial 16S ribosomal RNA
Rfam family: Bacterial small subunit ribosomal RNA
Source: RNAcentral
CCUACGGGCGGCAGCAGUGGGGAAUAUUGGGCAAUGGGCGCAAGCCUGACCCAGCAACGCCGCGUGAAGGAAGAAGGCUUUCGGGUUGUAAACUUCUUUUGACAGGGAAGAGCAGAAGACGGUACCUGUCGAAUCAGCCACGGCUAACUACGUGCCAGCAGCCGCGGUAAUACGUAGGUGGCAAGCGUUGUCCGGAUUUACUGGGUGUAAAGGGCGUGUAGCCGGGCUGACAAGUCAGAUGUGAAAUCCGGGGGCUUAACCCCCGAACUGCAUUUGAAACUGUUGGUCUGGAGUACUGGAGAGGCAGGCGGAAUUCCUAGUGUAGCGGUGAAAUGCGUAGAUAUUAGGAGGAACACCAGUGGCGAAGGCGGUCUGCUGGACGACAACUGACGGUGAGGCGCGAAAGCGUGGGGAGCAAACAGGAUUAGAUACCCGUGUAGUC